CAGCAGGCGCGAAAACUUUACAAUGCCGGCAACGGCGAUAAGGGAACCUCGAGUGCCAGGUUACAAAUCUGGCUGUCGCGAUGCCUAAAAAGCAUUGCAUAGCAAGGGCCGGGCAAGGCCGGUGCCAGCCGCCGCGGUAACACCGGCGGCUCGAGUGGUAACCGUUAUUAUUGGGUCUAAAGGGUCUGUAGCCGGCCGGAUAAGUCUCUUGGGAAAUCCAGCAGCUCAACUGUUGGGCUUUCAGGAGAUACUGUCUGGCUCGAGGCCGGGAGAGGUGAGAGGUACUUCAGGGGUAGGGGUGAAAUCUUGUAAUCCUUGAAGGACCACCAGUGGCGAAGGCGUCUCACCAGAACGGACCUGACGGCAAGGGACGAAAGCUAGGGGCACGAACCGGAUUAGAUACCCGGGUAGUCCUAGCCGUAAACGAUACUCGCUAGGUGUCGGCCACGGUGCGACCGUGGUCGGUGCCGUAGGGAAGCCGUGAAGCGAGCCACCUGGGAAGUACGGCCGCAAGGCUGAAACUUAAAGGA
Molecule: ribosomal RNA, 530 nt
Filed under: uncultured archaeon
Lineage: Archaea
Description: bacterial SSU rRNA
Rfam family: Archaeal small subunit ribosomal RNA
Source: RNAcentral